Puma concolor (puma) is the source of this 146-nucleotide small nuclear RNA. RefSeq annotates it as U4 spliceosomal RNA. NCBI's taxonomy places the organism in Eukaryota, Metazoa, Chordata, Mammalia, Carnivora, Felidae. The record is from RefSeq and is a predicted model, not a curated record.
AGCUUUGCGCAGUGGCAGUAUCGUAGCCAAUGAUGUUUAUCCGAGGCGCGAUUAUUGCUAAUUAAAAGGUUUUCUAAUUUAAAGUAUACAUUAAUGGGACUCCUGGAUGGCUCAAUUCGUUAAGUGUUUGACUUCGGCUCAGGUCA